AAACUUUUAGAAAUUUUAGUUCAUGAAAUAGUAAAAUAAAAUAGGAAAAUUGCACGUAUGCUCAGUGGAUUCAGUAUUUAGAUUCUAAUUUCCCAAAAGUUUCAGCGCUACUGUUGCAAAAAUAAAAACGCGUGUAUCCCUAUGUCUAGUAGAAAUCUAAAUGUAGCUCUUAUAUCUCUUUGUGUAAGGCGAAUAGUAGAAGAUCUUGCUUUGGAUAUUUUGGUGGGUGAAUUAAAUUUUUAUAUUAUUUUGAUAGUUUUCAAUCGAGGCGUCGUUUCGGUCCAAUCUAUAUUUACCUCAUGUUUUUUCUUCGUCUCUUUCAUUCUAAUUGGUUUGUUAUCGGAUAAUUUGUUACCGUACACGAGUUUUUGUGGUUCAGAAUUCGUCUCACGUGUUGCGAGUGGUGAAUAUAUUAACUCUAUUAUGAAUAUAUUAACUUUAUUAUCUGUUAUCUCAUUAUCUCGACAUUUCAUUGCGAGAGGACCUAUAUCUAUAUUAACUCUAUUAUAUGCUAUCUCGUUAUCUCGACAUUUCAUUGCGUGUUUUGAAAUUUUAACUCCUAACUGGUUUGUUAUCAGAUAAUUUAUUACCGUACACGAGUUUUUGCGGUUCAGAAUUCGUCUCACGUGUUGCGAGUGGUGAAUAUAUUAACUCUAUUAUGAAUA
Molecule: small RNA, 665 nt
Filed under: Arabidopsis thaliana (thale cress)
Lineage: Eukaryota; Viridiplantae; Streptophyta; Magnoliopsida; Brassicales; Brassicaceae
Description: ATSL210790
Source: RNAcentral